This is a non-coding RNA of Podarcis muralis (Common wall lizard), 370 nucleotides long. The record is from RefSeq and is a predicted model, not a curated record. Lineage: Eukaryota; Metazoa; Chordata; Lepidosauria; Squamata; Lacertidae.
AGCAAGUGGCAGGAAGCAGAUUCCAGAGCGGCUCCUUACAAAACCCACUAGCAGAGAAUUCAAUCCAAGACCAUUGGCUGUACUGCUGCGCUCAAUAAUGCCAGGGCACACGUCUUUCUUCAGACAUGAGGCCUUCCACGGCGCCAUUAAAAGUGUCCAAACAGCAUUAUUUCGCUCUUCUCUAAGGACAGAAAAACGAAAGAGGGAACUCAUCUCUCCUGCUAACAAGAACUGACACCAUCUUCCUGUAGUUAUCAAUCCAGAUUUAAGAAAGAGUUCAAGCAACACUGCAAGUGGUAGAAAAUGAGACAUUCCUCCACCACUUAUCAAGACACCGUGUAGGCUACAUCCACACUAUUCACAAUGACAG